AUGCGGACAUGGAGAAUGCGGAGCCGAAAGAGAAAGAGGAAGAAGUCUAGCCGCCUCCCGGAUGCCGUCCUCGGCAGCAUCGUCUCUCUUCUCGCCACCAAGGAAGGCGCCCGCACGCAGGCCAUCUCCCGCCGGUGGCGUCCGCUCUGGCGCUCCGCUCCUCUGAACCUCGUGGUGAACCGUGAGCUCAUCAACAAGACCCACAAGCUCAUCGACCUGAUCCCAAAGGUCCUCUCCGAGCAUCGCGGCCCCACGCGCCGCUUCCUGCUCUGCUUCUGCAUCGACGACUGUUACGACAAGAUCGAAGGCUGGCUUAGCUCCCAGGCCCUGGACAGUCUACAGGAGCUCCAGCUCAACCCCAAGCUCUGGUUCGCGGACAGGAAGAAGCUGUAUCCGCUGCCACCGGCGGCGUGCCGCUUCUCGCCGACGCUCCGCGUGGCCAAAUUCCACGGCUUUCACCUCCCGGACUUGAUUGGGCAUCUGUCGCUGAAGUUCCCGUGCCUGGAGCAGCUGACCCUGGAGAGGGUCACCAUCUCGGAGGACGCUCUCCAGAGCAUGCUCUCGGGCUGCCCUGCCUUGGAAAGCCUCGAGCUCAAGGAAAAUUUGGGCAUUGCUCGCCUCUGCAUCAGCUCCCAAACUCUGAAGAGUCUGGGCUUUUGCGUCGACUCGAGGUAUGGAGGUGUGUUUCUGCAAGAGUUGGUCAUCGAGGAUGCCCCGUGCCUUGAGAGGUUGCUAGCCCUUGAUCCAAAGGGCGGCCCAGCGACCAUACGGAUAAUUUGCGCACCUAAACUGGAGAUAUUGGGUAUGCUGUCCGAGGACAUAUCUGAGCUCCACCUUGGAAGAACAAUUUUUCAGAAAGGGGUUGCUGUUAGUUUGACAACCAAAAUGCACACCAUGAGGGUUUUGGUUUUCAGCCCUGUUGGCCCUGAUCUGGAUGCAGUGGUCAACUUCCUCAAGUGCUUCCCCUGCUUGGAGAGGCUGUAUGUCAUUUUUCAGCCACUGUCACGCGCAAUUUAUUAUAUUGGUAAUGCCCGGAAGUAUGACCCACUGCACCCAAUCGAGUGCUUUCAGCUGCAUCUAAAGAAAGUGGUGUUGAAGAAUUAUGACGGCGAAAAUAGUGCAUUUAUCAACUUUGCCAAGUUCUUUCUUCUGAAUGCGAAAGCGCUAAAGGAAAUGAAAAUCACAUCGCCUUACCACCGCCAGCACAAUUUCUUUGCUAAUAUACAGAGCAAGCUACGAGAUCAACUUAGAGCUUCUCCGGAUGCUCAAAUUGAACUGAGAUGUGGCACUAGGGAUUAUUUCACACGCAACAAGCAUACCCAUGAUUUGUCGAUGAACGAUCCCUUUGACAUGCCGUCCAUCGGAUGCUGGAGGUGUAAAGAGUUGGGUCUAGGAGAUACUACAUACCAGGUUUAA
RNAcentral lists this ribosomal RNA (1416 nucleotides) under Triticum aestivum (bread wheat). RNAcentral describes it as "partial small subunit ribosomal RNA". Lineage: Eukaryota; Viridiplantae; Streptophyta; Magnoliopsida; Poales; Poaceae. The record is from RNAcentral.